UACACCACAUUUCCGGCUGCAUACACACUCCCCGGACUCACACUUUCAGAAUUUGGGAAACGACAGCAUUCGAGUGUCCACAGAUAAAACCUCUCUUUCGCCAUCACUCUCAUUCCCAUUUUAUCAGUCCCUUUUCCGCGCUCAACACUAACAAAAGCUCAAAAUUUGGUAUUGGAUGUUUAAGCCUUUCAGGCCCUGCAAAGCCCCCAUAGGCAGUCAGGAAUAGAGCUUCUACAGAUUGGUUUCUGAAUAUUUUCUUAUUCUCUAAAUUGGGUUUUUGACGAAUAUUUCUUCUUGCUUGCCUGUGUUCUGUGGAGAAGUAGAAGAAAAUGAUGAACUUCAAGGAGUUUUGGACCAAGAAGACGUUGAUAGGUCUUGGGCUGGGACAGCUUCUCUCGUUUUUGAUCACUUCCACUGGCUUCACGUCUUCUGAACUCGCCAAAAAAGGAAUUAAUGCCCAACUUCACAGUCUUUUCUAAAUUAUGUGUUCUUGGCAAUUAUAUAUGGAAGUAUUGUGCUUUACCGGAAGAAAGCACUCAAGGCAAAAUGGUAUUACUACAUACCUCUUGGAUUGGUAGAUGUAGAGGCCAAUUUUCUUGGUGAGAAUAACUAAUAUAGUUUCUCUUUACUGGGUGUGUUUAGCCUGAUCAGUUGUAUGCAUGUGUACUGCUCUUUUUUUUUAUUUGUUAUUUUUUCGUGUGGGAUUUAAAUUAUAAUAUUUGUUCAAUCUGAAUGAUGUUAUUUGUGACCUGAGAAACUGCAUUUAUCUAGUUCAAAUAAACAGAAUGUCAUUUCUUUCUCUGUAAAGCUCGCCAUCUUCUUUUUGGUUUGAUA
Molecule: long non-coding RNA, 834 nt
Organism: Carya illinoinensis
Lineage: Eukaryota; Viridiplantae; Streptophyta; Magnoliopsida; Fagales; Juglandaceae
Exons: 3
Source: RefSeq, a predicted model, not a curated record